GUGGAUUGUGCGGCUUAAUUUGACUCAACGCGGGGUAAUUUACCAGGUAUAACAUGAUAUAAUAUUUUAUCAUGAUAGUGGUGCAUGGCCGUUUCCAAUGGAUGCUGUGAAGUAAUGAUUAAUUUCAACAAGAUGUGAGACCCUCUAUUAAGACAGAUGUAGUGAUACAUAUGAAGGAGAGGAUUAAAACAGGUCCGUUAUGCCCUAAGAUAAUCUGGGUUGCACGCGCAAUACAAUAAUAUUUAAUAUUAUAAGGGAUAAUAUAAUGUAAGAUAUAUUUGAACAUGGAAUUGCUAGUAAAUUUUAUUUAAUAAGUAGAAUUGAAUGUAUCCCUGUUCUUUGUACACACCGCCCGUCGCUAUCUAAGAUGGUAUUAUCUAUGAACAAAUUUAUAAAGUGAAUAGAUAGUACUAGAUCUGAUAUAAGUCGUAACAUGGUUGCUGUUGGAGAACCAUUAGCAGGAUCAUAA
RNAcentral lists this ribosomal RNA (469 nucleotides) under Nosema maddoxi. RNAcentral's name for it is "SSU rRNA". It matches the Rfam family "Microsporidia small subunit ribosomal RNA", at positions 810 to 1311 of the family's 1311-position model. The record is from RNAcentral. Lineage: Eukaryota; Fungi; Microsporidia; Nosematidae.